GUGGGGAAUAUUGGACAAUGGGCGCAAGCCUGAUCCAGCCAUGCCGCGUGUGUGAAGAAGGCCUUCGGGUUGUAAAGCACUUUUGUCCGGGAAGAAAUCUUCCAGGUUAAUACCCUGGGAGGCUGACGGUACCGGAAGAAUAAGCACCGGCUAACUUCGUGCCAGCAGCCGCGUUAAUACGAAGGGUGCAAGCGUUACUCGGAAUUACUGGGCGUAAAGCGUGCGUAGGUGGUUCGUUAAGUCUGCCGUGAAAGCCCCGGGCUCAACCUGGGAAGGGCGGUGGAUACUGGCGGGCUAGAGUGCGGUAGAGGGUGGUGGAAUUCCCGGUGUAGCAGUGAAAUGCGUAGAGAUCGGGAGGAACAUCUGUGGCGAAGGCGGCCACCUGGACCAGCACUGACACUGAGGCACGAAAGCGUGGGGAGCAAACAGGAUUAGAUACCCUAGUAGUCC
Molecule: ribosomal RNA, 450 nt
Filed under: uncultured bacterium
Lineage: Bacteria
Description: bacterial SSU rRNA
Rfam family: Bacterial small subunit ribosomal RNA
Source: RNAcentral